ACUUAACCUCUCUGAGUCUCUGUAAAAUGGAGGGAAAAAAUGCUUCUCUGGAAGAGUGGUUAAAUACUUGAAAGAGGCAAUGUAACUGUCUUAUGCCUAGAGCAUAGUAGGUGCUUAACAAACAGUAGCUUAUUUCUGGCAUUAUAAUUAGAUGAGGGGAAGGUCCCUCCUAGCACAGACCCUGGAAGAUUCUAUGACUCAGGGAGUGGGCAGAUUGCAUCCAUGGUCCCUGCCCUCAUUUGUAGCUACCUGAAGGGCCUGUCUCAGCAAUAAAAACAGCCAAGUGAGCACAGGCAGAGAAACAUCAUUUCCUCCUCCUCUUGAGGGCAGGAGUCCAGGCGCAGCCCCAGCAGCAGGUUGGAAUAAAUGCAGAUGCUGCAAAUUGAUGGAGGCCUGGUGUCUUCCAGAGUGGAGGUAAAGGCUGGCUGAGGAAUCAGUGAGGCCAGGAAGAGGGCUCAGCUGAGCAACUGAUCAAAGCAUCCCUCUUCAGGAAGGAGCUUCCUGUGUUUUCUCUGGGAACUCACCUGUUUUCCACUCCAGACUCUCCAAGAUAUGCAGAGCUUUGGGCCAGGAUCCUACAGCCACGGGUCAUGCAGAGCCAGUUGGCCACAUCCUUUGGGCCAAAUUUGGUCCUAACCAGGUCUUACCACGGUAACUGCUAACCAGUCCAUCUUCAGUUAAUAUUUCAUGCAAAACAAUGGGCAAGUCAGCUCAUGAAGAACUUUUCAGAUAUUCAGACUAUUAUUCUGAGAGAGAAAAUAUUGGCAGAGAACAGAUGGGAUUUUUCUCAAGGAAAAGAAAUGGAAAUCCUACAUCUUGCAAGAAAUAGAAAAAAAUAAAUAAACUGUUUGAAGAAGAAUCACAUCAGGCUGGCAGGAGAGAGCCUGCGGCUCGGUGUCUGACCCAGAAUGUUAAAGCCAGCCUGGCUUGGCUCCAGGAUAAAGGACACUCUGUCAGCCUCUCCACAUUGAUUCAUCUCCCCAGCCCCAAGAUCAGGAGAGCAUUCUGUUCCUUGAAGCAUUUUAUGACUGUAAGUCAGAAGUGCUGCAGUUUUAAUAAAAAGCUGUAUUGUCCUGA
RNAcentral lists this long non-coding RNA (1077 nucleotides) under Homo sapiens (human). RNAcentral describes it as "HSALNT0384464". Lineage: Eukaryota; Metazoa; Chordata; Mammalia; Primates; Hominidae. The record is from RNAcentral.